GACGAACGCUGGCGGCGUGCUUAACACAUGCAAGUCGAACGGAAAGGCCUGCUUUCCCUUGUGGAUUGCGGGUACUCGAGUGGCGAACGGGUGAGUAACACGUGAGUGAUCUGCCCCCAACUUGGGUAUAAGCCUGGGAAACUGGGUCUAAUUCCCGAUAGGACUGCAGGGUGGUGCCUGUGGUGGAAAACGAUUUUCUAGUGGUUGGGGAUGAGCUCGCGGCCUAUCAGCUUGUUGGUGGGGUAAUGGCCUACCAAGGCGGCGACAGGUAGCCGGCCUGAGAGGGUGGACGGCCACAUUGGGACUGAGAUACGGCCCAGACUCCUACGGGAGGCAGCAGUGGGGAAUAUUGCACAAUGGGCGGAAGCCUGAUGCAGCGACGCCGCGUGGGGGAUGACGGCCUUCGGGUUGUAAACUCCUUUCGACCGCGAGGAAGCCACCUGGUUGGAAGGGUGGUGACGGUAGUGGUAGAAGAAGCACCGGCUAACUACGU
Molecule: ribosomal RNA, 493 nt
Filed under: uncultured bacterium
Lineage: Bacteria
Description: partial 16S ribosomal RNA
Rfam family: Bacterial small subunit ribosomal RNA
Source: RNAcentral